RNAcentral lists this ribosomal RNA (31 nucleotides) under Fusarium solani. RNAcentral describes it as "partial 28S ribosomal RNA". Lineage: Eukaryota; Fungi; Ascomycota; Sordariomycetes; Hypocreales; Nectriaceae. The record is from RNAcentral.
GUUGACCUCGAAUCAGGUAGGAAUACCCGCU